UCAAGUGAAUAAGUGCAUCAGGUGGAUGCCUUGGCGAUGAUAGGCGACGAAGGACGUGUAAGCCUGCGAAAAGCGCGGGGGAGCUGGCAAUAAAGCUAUGAUCCCGCGGUGUCCGAAUGGGGAAACCCACCUCUUAGGAGGUAUCCUUAUCUGAAUACAUAGGAUAAGCGAAGCGAACCCGGAGAACUGAACCAUCUAAGUACCCGGAGGAAAAGAAAUCAACCGAGAUUCCGCAAGUAGUGGCGAGCGAACGCGGAGGAGCCUGUACGUGAUAACUGUCGAGAUAGAAGAACAAGCUGGGAAGCUUGACCAUAGUGGGUGAUAGUCCCGUAUUCGAAAUCUCAAUAGUGGUACUAAGCGUACGAAAAGUAGGGCGGGACACGUGAAAUCCUGUCUGAAUAUGGGGGGACCAUCCUCCAAGGCUAAAUACUCAUCAUCGACCGAUAGUGAACCAGUACCGUGAGGGAAAGGCGAAAAGAACCCCGGGAGGGGAGUGAAAUAGAACCUGAAACCGCAUGCAUACAAACAGUAGGAGCCUCGUCAGAGGUGACUGCGUACCUUUUGCAUAAUGGGUCAGCGACUUACAUUCUGUGGCGAGCUUAACCGAAUAGGGGAGGCGCAGCGAAAGCGAGUUCGAAAUGAGCGUCCAGUCGCAGGGUGUAGACCCGAAACCAGAUGAGCUAUCCAUGGCCAGGUUGAAGGUGUGGUAACACACACUGGAGGACCGAACCGACUAGUGUUGCAAAAUUAGCGGAUGAGCUGUGGAUAGGGGUGAAAGGCCAAACAAAUCUGGAGAUAGCUGGUUCUCCCCGAAAACUAUUGAGGUAGUGCCUCGUGUGUCGCUCCAGGGGGUAGAGCACUGUUUUGGCUAGGGGGACAUGGAGUCUUACCAAACCAAGGCAAACUCCGAAUACCUGGAAGCGUAAGCACGGGAGACAGAGCACCGGGUGCUAACGUCCGGACUCAAAAGGGAAACAACCCAGACCGCCGGCUAAGGUCCCAAAUAACAGCUAAGUGGAAAACGAAGUGGAAAGGCCGUGACAACCAGGAAGUUGGCUUAGAAGCAGCCAUCCUUCAAAGAAAGCGUAAUAGCUCACUGGUCGAGUCCUUCUGCGCGGAAGAUGUAACGGGGCUAAGCUGUUAACCGAAGCCGCGGAUGCACUGGUUAUCCAGUGCGUGGUAGGGGAGCGUUCUGUAAGUCUGCGAAGGCGGUUCGAGAGGACUGCUGGAGAUAUCAGAAGUGCGAAUGCUGACAUGAGUAACGUUAAAGCAGGUGAAAAGCCUGCUCGCCGUAAGCCCAAGGAUUCCUGCUCUACGUUCAUCGGAGCAGGGUGAGUCGGCUCCUAAGGUCAGGCCGAAAGGCGUAGCCGAUGGGAAUCAGGUUAAUAUUCCUGAACCUGCGUCAGAUGCGAUGGGGGGACGGAGCAUGAAAGAUCAUCCGGGUGUUGGAUGUCCCGGUUGUUGAGCGUAGGAGGUCUGCAGGCAAAUCCGCAGACGCAUCUCCAAGGCGAAGACACGUGCCGCCACGGCGGCGAAGUGAUCGGAAGUGCUUCCAAGAAAAGCCUCUAAGCACCAGUCUGACGCGGACCGUACCGCAAACCGACACUGGUGGGCGAGCUGAAUAUGCUCAGGCGCUUGAGAGAACUCGGGAGAAGGAACUCGGCAAAUUGACACCGUAACUUCGGAAGAAGGUGUGCCGUAGUACCGUGAGAGGAGAGACACCUUGAGCGGGAAUCGGUCUCAGAGAAUAGGUGGCUGCGACUGUUUAUUAAAAACACAGCACUCUGCAAAGUCGAAAGACGACGUAUAGGGUGUGAUGCCUGCCCGGUGCUGGAAGAUUAAUUGAUGGGGUGAGAGCCCUUGAUCGAAGUCCCAGUAAACGGCGGCCGUAACUAUAACGGUCCUAAGGUAGCGAAAUUCCUUGUCGGGUAAGUUCCG
RNAcentral lists this ribosomal RNA (1938 nucleotides) under human gut metagenome. Its description in RNAcentral is "bacterial LSU rRNA". It matches the Rfam family "Bacterial large subunit ribosomal RNA", at positions 3 to 1985 of the family's 2925-position model. The record is from RNAcentral.